GUUGAGUGAGAGGGGCUGUAGCGUUUAUAGAGGAGAGUAUUAAUUGUAGAAUGGGGUAUAUAGGGGACGGACUACCUUUUGAAUAAGGGGGCUUAGAGAGAGGGGACUUAGGUAGUAGCCCCAAACCAUGAGAUAUUUAUUUACUGUUUUGGGAGAAAUUUCAGGAUUUAGUAAAUAAUGCAGUGAGAUGCUUGCGAUUAUGGUAUAUGUGGAAACUGGCCCAGGAAAGCUGGGUGGUUGGUUUUAGGUGACUGCGAAUUGAUGGGGAAUAAUUGUAAUAGAUGAUUGCUACAAUAAUUUCAGAGAAUUUAGAAUUCGGGGUGUCUAAAUGGGCUGGAGUUGGGGAAUGUUCCCAGUCGGGCCAAUUAAGCUAUUAGUAAUGAAGGAGUAAGAUGUUAUUGGGGAAGGGCUGUCGUGUGGACUAGGAAGUUGAACAAAUGUUUAGUAAAAACAUUUCUCGUUUAUUGAUGAGUAAUUCCUGCCCAAUGAUAAUUUUAAUGGCCGCAGUAAGUUGACUGUGCUAAGGUAGCAUGAUAAGUAGGUCAUUGAUUGUGAUCUGGUAUGAAGGGGAUAAUGAUUCAAUCUUUGGUGCUUGGCAGCUUGGGAAGUUGAAAAAAGGUGAAAAUGCCUUUCAGUUUAAAAGACGGAAAGACCCCAGAAGCUAGACAAGGUUGGUUGUUUUAUUGGGGCAAUAAUUGAAAUUCCAAAUUUCAGCAGAAAAGUUACUCUGGGGAUAACAGGGCUAUCGCUUCAAUGGAGUGGUUUGCUACCUCGAUGUUGGAUCAACCCUAAAUGAGUCUGUUCGACUUAGGGUGGGUUACGUGAUCUGAGUUUAGAUCGGUGUGAGCCAGAUCGGUUCUUAUCUUAUAGGGAGUCUUUGUAGUACGAGAGGGGGCAUUGACUAUAAUAAUUAUAGU
This 917-nucleotide ribosomal RNA is filed under the name Centrorhynchus clitorideus. RNAcentral's name for it is "16S ribosomal RNA". The stretch from base 334 to 917 matches the Rfam family "Archaeal large subunit ribosomal RNA", at positions 1423 to 2766 of the family's 2987-position model. The record is from RNAcentral. Lineage: Eukaryota; Metazoa; Acanthocephala; Palaeacanthocephala; Polymorphida; Centrorhynchidae.